Molecule: RNA transcript, 4155 nt
Organism: Oncorhynchus tshawytscha (Chinook salmon)
Lineage: Eukaryota; Metazoa; Chordata; Actinopteri; Salmoniformes; Salmonidae
Gene name: disintegrin and metalloproteinase domain-containing protein 23-like
Exons: 26
Source: RefSeq, a predicted model, not a curated record
AUAUUGAAUUGUAAAACACCGCACUUGCGCGGAUGCAGCAUAGGAGUCUGCUCGUUGGUUUCAGGUGUCUGGCCAUCGCCUUCCAUUCGCCCCGCGCCCGAUGCUGCAAGAGUCAUCUCCCACACUGACUGGAUACAUGAAGACUUUCCCGUAAACGAUAUCUCCCCCGCUAUAACGGGCCGGAAGAUAAUUACUGCGUUGACGUGUUGAUAUACAUAUAUUUAAAAUAUCAAAUAUGAAUCAUGCAUUUGAUAUUUCUAGCAAAUUUGCUGGUGAGCAUCCUUGCAGCCGGACUCCAUUCAUCCAUAGCAUCAAUCGGAGGAGAGAAUGAGGUGGUGGAGAGAGACGCAGAACCAUUAUUGUCGGAGCGAGAGGCAACUGCAGCAGCGGCCACAGACAACACAAGUCACAGUGCGGCUGAGCAUGUGAUCACUUACCCCUCUCGGCUCAUCUAUUACCUGAAGGAGGACUCAGAGAGCACUUAUCAUGACCUGGACACCCGGGCUAGAAACCAGGGCACAGAGGGUCAUGACCAGGCAGUCCAUCUUGCCCAAGCCAGUUUCCAGUUAGAUGCCUUUGGCUCCAAAUUUGUACUGGACCUAACGUUAAACAAUGACUUGUUGUCGUCGGAUUAUGUGGAGAUCCACUAUGAGGAGGGUAAAUCGGUUCUAUCAAAGGGUGGUGAACACUGUUACUACCACGGCCAGGUGAGGGGGAAAGAUGAUUCCCACGUGGCCUUGUCUACCUGCAAUGGGCUGCACGGAAUGUUUGACGAUGGACUCUAUCUCUAUAUAAUGGAGCCUUUGCAACAGACUCACUCAAUUGAUACAGCCGCACGGCCCCACUCACUGCGCAGGAUGCCCAGCCUCCAGUGGAACAGUGACUCAGAGGAACUGGUGAAGGACGAGCGGCUGCUUCCGGAGCUGGACGACAUGUCCUGGCUGAAGCGCAGGAAAAAGCGGGCUAUGCCUAGGAAUGUAUUUGAGGAGAUGAAGUAUUUGGAGAUUAUGAUCGUCAGUGACCAUAAUAUGUAUAAGCGACUCAAGACCAAGCAGCACACCAGGAACUCUGCCAAGUCAGUGGUGAACCUUGUUGAUGCUAUCUUUAAGGAGCACCUGCACACACGGGUGGUUCUGGUUGCCGUGGAGAUCUGGUCGGACAAGGACCCGAUUCCCAUCAGUGUGAAGCCUCUGGACAUGCUGAAAGAUUUCUCUAAGUACCGGGCGCAGAGCAUCAAGCAGCACACUGACGCUGUGCACCUCUUCUCCAAUGUGACCUUCCACUAUCGCCGAAGCAGUGUAGCGUACUUCGGGGGGAUGUGCUCUGUGAGCCGUGGAGUAGGGGUCAACGAGUAUGGCACCACAUGGACUAUGGCUUCGUCACUCUCCCAGAGCUUGGCACAGAACCUCGGCAUCCAGUGGGAUCCAGCCGCAAAGAGAAAGGAAUGCGGCUGCUCUGACUCCUGGGUGGGCUGCAUCAUGGAGGACACUGGGGUCCAGCAUCCCCGGAAGUUCUCCAAGUGCAGCAUCUCAGACUACAAGGAGUUCCUGCUGAAGGGUGGUGGAUCAUGUCUCUAUAACAGGCCGAACAAGCUGUUUGAAUCUACAGAGUGUGGGAAUGGAUACAUUGAGGUGGGAGAGGAGUGUGACUGCGGAGAUAGAACAGAGUGCUACAAGGACUGCUGUAAGAAGUGUUCCCUAGCUAAUGGUGCACAUUGCGCUGACGGACCUUGCUGCAACAACACUUGUCUGUUUUACCCACGUGGUUACAGUUGUCGCUAUGCGGUGAAUGACUGUGACAUCUCAGAGACAUGCUCAGGAGACUCUGGCCAGUGCCCUCCCAACCUCCACAAACAAGAUGGCUACCAAUGUCAAGUCGACCAGGGACGCUGCUACAGCGGAGAGUGCAAGACCAGAGGAAACCAGUGCAAAUAUCUCUGGGGCCCAAAGGCGGGAGGGUCUGAGAAGUUCUGCUACGAGAAGCUAAACACAGAAGGAACCGAGAAGGGUAACUGUGGAAAGGAUGGAGAUAAGUGGCUCCAGUGCAGCAAGCAUGAUGUGUUCUGUGGGUUCCUGCUGUGCAGUAACAUCGGACACAACCCCCGCAUCGGCAUGAUGAAGGGAGACAUCACUCGUACCUCCUUCAACCAUCAGGGCAGGCCGGUGAACUGCAGUGGUGGCCAUGUUCUUUUGGACGAUGAGACUGACUUAGGCUACGUGGAGGACGGAGCGCCCUGCGGGCCGUCCAUGAUGUGCCUUGACCACAAGUGUCUGCCCAUCCAGUCCCUCAACAUGAGCACCUGCCCCAGCGGGCCCAACGGCCAGGUGUGCUCAUCCCACGGGGUGUGUAACAACGAGGCGACGUGCACCUGUGACACCACCUGGGCGGGGACUGACUGCAGCAUGCCCGACCCUCCCAAGGAGCCUGCACCCACAGAAGACGAAGAACCAAAAGGUCCCAGUGCCACCAAUCUUAUAAUAGGCUCCAUCGCCGGUGCCAUCCUGGUGGCUGCCAUAGUGCUGGGGGGGACCGGAUGGGGCUUUAAGUAAGCAACACACCACAUGCCUCUUCUCCAUGACUCUGGCAUCCCCUGCUGUUGCAUAUAGACACCAGUGUUUGAGCUCCUGCUACAGAAUACGGACAUGGACUCAGGGACACACACACACACACACACACGCACACGCACACACCUGAUACAGAAUGGGACACACACACAUACCUGAUGCACGUUUGUCCGAUGUACCAUCACUUGCACAGUAAGCAGUAAACACACACUGAUAUGUUUUGAAGGCAUCUUGCAUGUGUUCAUGAUACCUUUACUUUUCUUACAGGUCCACAAUCAAUCCUAUAGGGUGAAUAAAUACCAUAGAGAUUAUGUUGGGGGAGAGGUUGGGCCUCUGUGAGUCUGUGGCAGAAUCUCAAACUGAUAAAACAGGCACAGUGCAAAGUUUGACGUGCAUGUUCAGUACAGUUACUAAACCUGCUAGCUAAGCAGAAUAAUCAUUAAAUCAGCUAGGAGCACUUGGAGACCAAACUGUUCUUACUACUAAUCUAGUAUGUGCAUUAAGAUUAUACUGUAGCUUUUUGACACAUUCAGAUUAUAGCUCUUCGACACAUUCAGAUUAUAGCUCCUCGACACAUUCAGAUUAUAGCUCCUCGACACAUUCAGAUUAUAGCUCCUCGACACAUUCAGAUUAUAGCUCCUCGACACAUUCAGAUUAUAGCUCCUCGACACAUUCAGAUUAUAGCUCCUGGACACAUUAUGUUGUGUUCACUAAUUUGAGGCAUCAAGUGGCAGUCGCUCACUGGUCAACCUGUUGUGCUGGGCAACAGGGGUGUUACACACCAUUAAUCUAAAGAAAGAAAAGGAGUUGAUAAAUAUAGUUCAAACACCAAAGCAUGCCAGUUAGCAAAGCAUCAUGUUUGUCACCAAAACAUUUAUUUCUGCAUGUUUACUUGGAUAAGGUCAGUUCAUUGCACAAAGGCUGAGCCUAACCCAGGAUGACAUGCUCCUGGGUUACCAUACUCUUAUCACUACCAUCAUCUUUUUCUCACUCCGGUACGAGGGUUCGAGGGUGAGAGUUUAAGCGGAAGUGGUGAGAGAGAAGCCAGGGCCAUAUUGUUGGCCAAAGCCUUUGUGUCAUGGCUGGCCACACCCACCUGGAUGGCCAGGCUCCGCCCUAGAGCAGAGCAGGACUCCCGGACCCGCCCACAACAGCUGCCAUUGCUGCCUGCUUCACAGACCUGGUACACACACGGCGCAUUGUACUGCAUGACCCACCACGCACAUCAAUAGAGCCAUCUCCAACUGGCCUACUAUUGAAACAGAAAUGUGAAGAAGCGAAAGUACGACCCCAACGCCAGCGCCAUAUAAGGUUGGAGGAGAGGUCAGCGGGCACAGAGGAAACCUUCUGGGCUUCCUUAGUACUCUACAGCUGGACUGCACUUACUGCGGAGGAUUUUUUGGGCAUUAGAUUUACUUGAAAAAUACAUAGAGGACAAUUUAACAUUAUCCAUCUUAGUCAUGUAGAGAUGUAGCCUUUUUCAACCCUAACAACCCACCUAACAACCUCACCCACCUACCGAACAACCCACCUAACAACCUCACCCACCUACCUAACAACCCAGCUAACAACCUCACCCACCUACCUAACA